This is a long non-coding RNA of Passer domesticus (house sparrow), 6111 nucleotides long. RefSeq lists it as uncharacterized. The transcript is spliced from 5 exons. The record is from RefSeq and is a predicted model, not a curated record. NCBI's taxonomy places the organism in Eukaryota, Metazoa, Chordata, Aves, Passeriformes, Passeridae.
CGUUCUGUAGGAGUAAUCAAUGAACUCUGUUUCCUGCAAACAGUUUCACCUUUGAGCUAUUAGUGCAAUAAUGAGGAGGGCGCAGUAUAUACUUACAUAAAGAACUUAGAAUCUAUUAGCACCUGUGCUGAGCACUAGAGCUGCUAAUACUUUGCAUGCAAAUUGUAGUCAUCAUCUGAGAAGAAGCAGAGUUCAUAGGUUCAAUAUUCUCUCACUUUCAAUCUCCUAUGUCAGCUAUGUCUUAACCAGCUGGGGGCAGAAUUACAUUCUGGAAAUUAGUGAGGAAAAAAAGAAGAGGACUGCAAACUUUCUUUCACACAGUACAUGCUGGCUCACUUCCUGCCCUUGGAAAAGAUUGCUUCAAUACCUGUGAACAUGUGCAUUACAAGAGACAUACUUAGACUUGCUCCUUCCUGUGUUGAAAACUGAGCUCUGAAUAUUUCUCUGGGAACCUCAAGCAUGGAGAAUUAGCACAUUGGACAGAGAAUGCCUUCCUAUCCCUGAAAGAAAAAGAAGUUGACUGAGGCAGCACCACUGUUACAGGCUGAGGACCAGCUCCACAUGACUCAGAAGUGAAAGAGAGAAAUGAAACCAAAGCCUCCUACAGAAAAUUUCAUCCUACAGCUCUCCUCCCUUGCCCGCACCAAACUGUAUUGUCUUAAUCUGGGAACGUGAUUUAUUUGUGAAAUAUCUAGUGGGUGGCAGAGGUGGGGAGCAAAGCUGCACAAAGCUCCCCAGAGCUGCUGACCGAGGUAAAUAGUGUGUCAUAACACAUUUAUCAAAUAAUAAUGGAAACCGUAUAGAACACACAGGAGAGGGAGGGGGAAACACCAUUCCCCACUGGGAAGUUACUGAAUAUUUCAGCCAGUUUAUAAAAGUAUGUGUACAUGUGUUUGGAAGGGGGGAGGUUUUUCUAGCUUCACCUCUGCAAAUAAAUCAUUGGCGUGGGAUGUCUGAGCAGACAAGUGAAAUGGAUGAGCACAUUAUGGAUCAAGGAGGUGGGAUUCCUGCCUUGGUUAGUUUGAGACAGACCACCCAAGCACUGUGGGUCUUAGAUGAGACUGAAGUAAUGCUUGUAGAGUUCUGAAAGGCCGAGGCUGUAGCCUCUGGCAUGGUAUGAAGUUGGGGAAUAAAAUAAAAUGGUGGUAUUUGCUGUAUAGCAGGCAUGACUUACCUGAACUGAUGUUGUUCCUAAUAUUUUUUUUUCUCCUGGGCUGGAUUAGCCCUGUAGAUAGAAUGAAAAAGAGAAAAUAUGACAAAGGUGUAAUAAUUAUGGCUGUCUUGAAAAUAAAUUAAAGUUUAGGUAAAAUAAAAAAAAAAAAAAUUAAUGGUGAUGUAUUUGUAUGUUAUUUUUGCCACGAGUAUUGUACUAGUACUAUUUGUACUGUUUGCCACUAGUCACUUUCAGAAUACAGAAGCUAUAGUUGGAUACUCCCAUUAAAAUUAAGAAGCUUGCAUCAUAACUGGUCUAUUGAAGUCAACAAGAAUUACUUAUGGAAAAAGACACCCACUCCAUGUGAAUAGGGCUUACAGAACAUGAAUGAGUAUUACCAAAAAACACCCAAGUUAAAAGGAGCCAGCAAAGUCAGUAUCCUUAUAAAUAUUUGUAUAGUUAACACUCUGGAAUUUUUGCAAGGAGGACAUAGUUAUGAGGUUCAGAAUGAUCAUCUUUAACAGGGAAACCUCUUGCAGUGCAAUGGAUCACCUUUUUAUAUUUAUACAUGGCAAUCAUGAUUAAAGGCUGAUCAGUCUACAUAUAGUAAUGAAUUAGAUUAAUUGUACAUUGUAAGGAAGCAAAAUAGGAAACAUAGAAAAUUUUCCAUAGAAAAUUAUCCUCUUUUUAUUUUUCUAAGAAGAAAAAGUGGUCUUGAUGUUUUUCUACUAUAAUGUAAAAUUUUAUCAUGCUUAAAAUUUUGAGGGACUAUUGGAAGUUUGUACCAGCAUUAAUCUUAUACCAGAAAAUCUUAAAUAGUUUUAAAAUUAUUUAAAAACUGUUGCUAAACAAAAUUCAAACAUGUUUUCUUAAAAAAAUGCUGUUUUCUACCCAUGGAGUACCUUUCCUCCUGGUUUGAUCACAUCUGAUAGCAAUCCCCAUUAGCAUUUGCAGCUACAUGCAGCCUCCCACCCUGCCAGGUCAGACACUGGCUUUGCUUGGUGACUGGGCCAGAGGCUGUAAGGUGGUGAAGUCUUGGGACACCUUUAACACCUGCCAGAGGAUGCCCUCGCCACAGAGGGGAGGUGCUGGUGGUUUGUGGCCACUCUGCCUCCCAUAACCAUUGCGCCAGUGGGUGUCAGCUGUGCUCCUGGCAGUGGUGUGACGUGGGAGGCUGAGAUGCUUAACAGCUAAGUUCUGUAUCACAUUUCUCAGGAAUGGAGAUGUUAACUCCCCGUGUUCAGGCUGGAUUUCAGCUUCAGCAUUCAUAGUGUUGUCUACCUAAAUCUGCCCUGAAGUUUUGAUUUGAUACAGUACCAUUCAUUUGGUGCUUUUAAUUGUGCAAUGCAACUUUUUCUCCCCACACUCUUGAACAUCUGCUCUGCUUCAAAAGUAGCUGAGUUUUGCCUGCAAGAGAAGAAUUUUUUACCCCCCUCAAGUUUUAAGGGGAUCUCCCUGUUCCUGGGCAGGGGAUGAACAGUUGGUGUUUGUGCUGGAGAACAAGGCUGCAAGAGACUGGAAAGAAUCCUACUCUGCCCAAGGGCUUUAGGCACCCAAGAAACUGAUCUACAGCCAGUGCUACAAACCAUGGGCUAUGGUUGUAGCUGUGAUCUCUGCAAGAGAUUUACAGCCCCUGGAUUUGCCCUGCUGUGCUCCCAGCCUGACUAAAGAAAUUUGCGAUGUCCCCAGCAUGUCCUUGCAGAACAUGUUGCACAUCAGAUUGGGGGAUGUCUGGAGGGUGCUCCACAGCCCCAUCAGUUCAUGUAGUCCAUUUGCAGCCUGGCCACUGGUGGGACAGUUCUUUGCCUCAAUAAAAAUGUGGACUUGUCUCAAUUCCAUUCUUGGCACUAAACGUGAUGUUAUCUAGGUGCCCAGCUGCAGUAGUGACUACUUCUCUAGAUACUAUUAAAAAAGUUACAAAAAAAAAAAGCUUGAUAAUGCUGAAGUAAAAGAAAAAAUCCUUUUAAAAAAGUUUAUUCAGGGGCAUAUUACAACUGAAACUAUGUGGAUAUUACCCUAUUUCUCUACUGCUGAUGUCUGUGCACUAAAGCUAAUUGCACCCAUUCAGAAGUUUAGCAGUUAAGCAACUGCACAGUGAGAGAGAGGACAGAAAAGAGAGCUGCCCUGAGUGGCAGAGAGGCAGCAAGGCACAAAGGGAAGAUCUGUGAUCCUGUGAAUCCUCUUGCCUUCUCUGUUCCCUCAUCUAGAGGUUUCUCCAUCAAGAGGUCCUUUGUAAAGGAGCCUUCUUGCUGUAUCUUCUGUGCACCUCCUUAGCACUUUCUCAGCUUGCCACAUUGUAAAGCAACCUCAGAGUGUGAAACCCACGGUUGAUAACUCUGCAGCUAAAUUAAUAUGUAAGAAAUGCAGUAUUAAAAAGGGCCAGAAAAGACUGAUUUGUUGUUGAAAGCGUUGUCUAAUGCAUAUUGUUGAAAGGAUUCUUGUACGCAAAGAAGACAGGUUUCCUUGACAUAAAGAAUAGGCCUUGAUCCCAUAAUUAUUUUGGCAGGUGCUUAAUUCCCAAAGUGUGAAUUAUCCUAUGAAAUUCAAUGCACAUAGUGAAACAAAGGAGUGGGAAGGGAGGAGGAAGGGAUUACAUAUGCUGAGAGAAAGGCAAGAGGGGCUCUCUGAACAAAUGGGGCUGAAAGGAGGAUUGAAGGAGGAGAGGAAAGGUGGUUGGCGGACGGGAACAGGAAAGCAAUUCAGACUUGAAGUUGAAUCAGCAGUUGCUGACAUGAAUGUGACACUAAUGGAAAGAAUUUGGGAAAAGAAGAGAUAUAAGGUAAUAGAUUUGUUCUCUUCAAAACAUUCUGUGUUCAGGUAAUAACACGUAGAGUUUGUUUAUAAUAACAUAAAGUGACAUCUUUUGGUUUCAAAGUGAAUUCAUGGUCAGAAACAAGGAAUGCCACCCUUACCUGUUUUUCUUUCUCUUUCCUUCUUUCUUGAAAUUUAUUUCUGGAAGUCAUUAAAAUUCAGAUCCCAUCACUUGUAACAAAUGAUGUGAAGUGUUAGGUACAGUACUUGGAAUAUAUGUUUGUUAAAAUGAAGGAAGAGACUCUUCCAACACUUUGGGAUUUUAUGAAUGAUUUACAUCUGGUGCUAAAGUUCAUAAAUGAAACGUGGGAGAACCAGAUGCUUCAUUUCUUGACUGCAUCGUGUCUGCACAUACUGAUGGUGAAUUGAAAACAGGAAUGUCUCAUAAAUCAAGAAAAUCUAUUUUUGUACUCUUGAUUUCUAUUCUGAACAUCCAUAUAAUACCCAAACAAAAGUGGUAAAAUUGGUUCCUUGAGAAACUCUUUAUGUUUAGUAACAGUGUGGACAUGUUAAUAAAAAAGUAGGGGGAGAAAAAGAGGAACCCAUUUUCAGAAUAAAAAGUGUUCACUCAGAAUGAGCAACCAUUCUUUGACAUCAACAUUGAAGGCACUUCAUUUAGCAAGAGAAAGACUGAAUGGAACUUCUGGGCAAACUCAGCCAGCCAUACAAAGAGCUGUGGUGUAUAAUAAGGUGACAUUUCACAGCUUUUGGCAUUGGGUGGAAAUUUACUGACAUGAUAAAUGAAGGAAGAAUCUGACCCACCUACUGAAUAGGAAGGUUGGAGCUCACAAGGACACAUUUGGAGAAAAAUGAGUGAAAUUUAGGGGUUUAAUUUUUCCAUUAGUGUUUUGGAAUGGUGCUCUUAGCCUACCCUCUUUUCCUGUUGACAUCUUCUACUGGCCUCAGAGCUGUAAACAAUACAUCUCAUGAUGUUUAGUUAGUUUAGUUACUAAAAAUUUUGUAAAUGGGCUUUUAAAAGACAAUUUAUUAAGUUAUAAUGAAAGAAUAAGCAUAUGUGUGUCUAAAGGGUUUUUAAAAUAGAACUUACGGGUUCCCACUUCCUUGAUUUCAUGGUACGUGUUUAUACACACAUUUUAAAUUAUUACAUUACAAUUCCAAAACUACCUGUGAAAAAUGGCAGGGUAACAAUAAUGAGUUUGGAUGAACAAGUUGUACCAAAGGGCUACCAAGUGCCAGCUGAUGCGUGGUAGUGCCCACCUGUGUCCUCUUAGGCUCCAACAAAUGCAUGGUAAUUGGAGUGGGCUCAGCCUACUGUGCAGGUGUGUGAGGCUGACUUGACUCACCUUGCAAUGCUGUGGGGGGAACAGUGUGCAUCCAGGCAAUUCUUGCAGCUCAACAGAAACUUGUUACCUUGUGGGAUCUUGUUUGUGUGUCUACGCCCUGGAUGUGCAUACCUUGCUAUUUCUGUUAACAAUUGAAAACAAAUAUUUAUUUAAAUUUAUUUGCACAUCCUACACACAGAUUGAGUGUAGGUGUGCUGACAGAAGGGAGAUUUUAGGAAGGAUUUCAUAAAGGUGAAGGAAAUGGCUUAGCAGCCAGGUUUCAAGGAGGCACCCCAAAUGCAAGGAGCAGCCCCAGACCGUGGAGGGCCUCGUGAUGGUAUCAAGGUGUGCCCUGCUGGCAGAGGAGGCAGAGCUUGUGAGCUGGGAGAGCUGACCUUGCUUUCAAAGACAGCAGCUGUUUUGAUCCAAAAUUGAUAAAACCACCCUAGAAACCUUAAAAAAGGACUAAAGAGUUCCAGAAUAAAAGAUAAUGUGGGUGGAGAUCAGGACACAUAUGGACUCCAGAGCUGAUCAGACCUCAUAGACUCAGAAGCCAAAAGUUCUUGCCUUCCCUGGCAGGAGAAUUCUGUCACUAGACUAUCCUGUCUAUGGAAGCUGGGAUAUCUGGCAAGGCUGGGAUCCACAUUUGCUGAUCAAUUCCCUACUACAGGCAAAGGGGCACUUUGCAAAAGUGUGCUUCCUCUGCAACCAUGCUGAACAAGAGAUCAAGAAGAAAUAGAGCCCCCAGCCUGUGACCUUUUCAGGAGAAAAGUGAUGGAAAUGAAGACAGAGAAACAAAGGAGAUACUGAAGAAGAACUCAUGUUUGGAGAGUUAACGCACAGAAAAGACAAAAUGAUAUGCAU